This 775-nucleotide ribosomal RNA is filed under the name uncultured Neocallimastigales. RNAcentral describes it as "partial large subunit ribosomal RNA". It matches the Rfam family "Eukaryotic large subunit ribosomal RNA", at positions 26 to 640 of the family's 3401-position model. Lineage: Eukaryota; Fungi; Neocallimastigomycota; Neocallimastigomycetes; Neocallimastigales. The record is from RNAcentral.
CGUCUAUAUACGUAUAGCAUAUCAAUAAGCGGAGGAAAAGAAACUAACUAAGGAUUCCCUCAGUAACGGCGAGUGAAGCGGGAAGAGCUCAAAUUUGAAAUCUCAAGGUUCUACCUUGACGAAUUGUAGUUUAAAGAAGUGUUUUCUGUUGGAGUUUUGGUAAAAGUUCUUUGGAAUAGGACAUCAUAGAGGGUGAGAAUCCCGUAUUUGACCAUUAUUUCCAGCUUUGUGAUACACUUUCAAAGAGUCGGAUUGUUUGGGAAUGCAGUCCAAAAUGGGUGGUAGAUUUCAUCUAAAGCUAAAUACUGGCGAGAGACCGAUAGCGAACAAGUACCGUGAGGGAAAGAUGAAAAGAACUUUGAAAAGAGAGUUAAACAGUACGUGAAAUUGUCAAAAGGGAAGCGUUUGACACCAGUGUUGUUUUCUCGAAAAUCAAUUAAAAAUGAUGGGAUUUUGUGUUGUAUUGACUUUAUCAGCUUUCUGCACUCUUUUUCCUAUCUUUUUUAAUGCACUUUUCGUUUAACAAGUCAACAUCAAUUUCUUUUGUUGUAAAAGAGUCAUUGGAAGGUGGCUUUCUUUUCGGAGAAAGUGUUUAUAGCCUUUGGCUUCUGCAAUCGGAGAGAUUGAGGUCUGCAGCGUAGAUCCUUCGGGGUUAGAUGCAUUUGUGCUAAGUUAUAGCCUUUCAUAGACAACUUGUUGACUAUGAUCAGUCAUGUAGCUUACUCGCUUAUGUCAUUUUACCUACGCUUAGGAUGUUGAUAUGCAUGACUGAUAU